RNAcentral lists this ribosomal RNA (554 nucleotides) under uncultured bacterium. RNAcentral describes it as "partial 16S ribosomal RNA". It matches the Rfam family "Bacterial small subunit ribosomal RNA", at positions 355 to 905 of the family's 1533-position model. The record is from RNAcentral.
UGGGGAAUUUUGGACAAUGGGCGAAAGCCUGAUCCAGCAAUGCCGCGUGUGUGAAGAAGGCCUUCGGGUUGUAAAGCACUUUUGUCCGGAAAGAAAUCCUUGGCUCUAAUACAGUCGGGGGAUGACGGUACCGGAAGAAUAAGCACCGGCUAACUACGUGCCAGCAGCCGCGGUAAUACGUAGGGUGCAAGCGUUAAUCGGAAUUACUGGGCGUAAAGCGUGCGCAGGCGGUUUGCUAAGACCGAUGUGAAAUCCCCGGGCUCAACCUGGGAACUGCAUUGGUGACUGGCAGGCUAGAGUAUGGCAGAGGGGGUAGAAUUCCACGUGUAGCAGUGAAAUGCGUAGAGAUGUGGAGGAAUACCGAUGGCGAAGGCAGCCCCUGGGCCAAUACUGACGCUCAUGCACGAAAGCGUGGGGAGCAAACAGGAUUAGAUACCCUGGUAGUCCACGCCCUAAACGAUGUCAACUAGUUGUUGGGACUCAUUUCCUUAGUAACGUAGCUAACGCGUGAAGUUGACCGCCUGGGGAGUACGGUCGCAAGAUUAAAACUCAAA